CAUUCCGAGAAACCAUCUCCAGUCAAUCGAGCCCCUCGAUGAUCUCUCACAACGCACUUGCUCAAUUAUGUUGAAUUAAUUGUUCCGGUGAUGUGGAAAUAACACUAAGAAGCUAGUUUAUAUGGACUUAAUUGCUUUGUGAUUGAAGAAUAACGUACUGAUUUUCCACAGGGGGAAACGUGACAAAGGGAAGGCCUUCAGGUAUUGUUUUGGCAAGCUAGGAGAACACAUCUGACAGACAAAAAGGUUUCAUCAAAGACACACAGACAGCUCCUGAAGUAAAGGACCUACACAGGACCUUCAUAUCAAGGACAUUGACUGUGUGGAUCUCGAGGUGCAGUUACCCAAAAGUUGCUACCCACGGAAUACCAGGUUUUGAGGGAUCCUGCCAGAGCAGAGAAUCAACAGAUACAUUGAAGAGGAGACUCCGACAUGACCGCCGGCAUCUUGUGUUAUUCACCCCCACCACUUGUAAUACUGAAUGCCUGAAUUGUUGUUUGCUGCUCAGACUUUGUCAACAGAUAUGGUCUUCGACAUGUUACCCUUAGGUGUGGAAACAGAUUGUGACAGUCCAGCAAAAUGAGCCAGACAGAUAGUAACACUGAAAAAGGACAACGUUGUUCCCAUGGCCUCCCACUGCAGAAGACUACAGACGUUCAGUGAAGCACAAACAGCUGUUCCUCUUGUACUUAAUAAUUUAGUCAGCUGGAUUCUAGGUGCCACUAAGGAGCCAACAGUGGAUAAUUUUGUCAACAUUUCAAUGGCAUACAUUAAAAGGGCAGCCUGUAAUUGUUUGCCUUGCCUCCAUCUUCCUUGCCACCAAGGGGUUGUAGACUGAUGCCCUAGUCCUCCUGUUUAGGUACAACCAUGCAGUUAGGCCAGUCUAUUGAA
This is a long non-coding RNA of Engraulis encrasicolus (European anchovy), 891 nucleotides long. RefSeq lists it as uncharacterized. The record is from RefSeq and is a predicted model, not a curated record. The transcript has 3 exons. Lineage: Eukaryota; Metazoa; Chordata; Actinopteri; Clupeiformes; Engraulidae.